Molecule: ribosomal RNA, 550 nt
Filed under: Nostoc commune SykoA C-019-12
Lineage: Bacteria; Bacillati; Cyanobacteriota; Cyanophyceae; Nostocales; Nostocaceae
Description: bacterial SSU rRNA
Rfam family: Bacterial small subunit ribosomal RNA
Source: RNAcentral
CGGGGUGAAAGGUUAACUGCCUGAAGAUGAGCUCGCGUCUGAUUAGCUAGUAGGUGUGGUAAAGGCGCACCUAGGCGACGAUCAGUAGCUGGUCUGAGAGGAGGAUCAGCCACACUGGGACUGAGACACGGCCCAGACUCCUACGGGAGGCAGCAGUGGGGAAUUUUCCGCAAUGGGCGAAAGCCUGACGGAGCAAUACCGCGUGAGGGAGGAAGGCUCUUGGGUCGUAAACCUCUUUUCUCAGGGAAGAACACAAUGACGGUACCUGAGGAAUAAGCAUCGGCUAACUCCGUGCCAGCAGCCGCGGUAAUACGGAGGAUGCAAGCGUUAUCCGGAAUGAUUGGGCGUAAAGCGUCCGCAGGUGGCGAUGUAAGUCUGCUGUUAAAGAGUCUAGCUCAACUAGAUAAGAGCAGUGGAAACUACAUAGCUAGAGUACGUUCGGGGCAGAGGGAAUUCCUGGUGUAGCGGUGAAAUGCGUAGAGAUCAGGAAGAACACCAGUGGCGAAGGCGCUCUGCUAGGCCGUAACUGACACUGAGGGACGAAAGCUAG